AAAAGUAAAGAAAAAGAAAAUUCUCUUCCUUCUUCAUCCCGUGCGUCCUCCAUCUUUUCCUUCUUCUCCGUUCACCCUAGCAGCCGCACGCUCCAGCAACCGCCCAAUUCUUCUUCUCUUUUCUUCCUCUUUCGUUCGACGUCGACGGUCAGACCAAGCCGAAAACGAAAACCCAGUCGCCGUCCCUCUUUUCUUUUCGUUUUCUACCGCCGGCAACCCCAAAAUUUCUCUUCUUUCGUUUCUCUUUCUUUUCUACCAUACCCAGCCACCGCUGCAACCGUCGGCCGCCAUCUCUGUUCGCGAAGCAAGCCGUACGCGUCACCUUGCAGUUGUCGUCCAGAUCUGCGUCGCCGUGCCCCGUCCUAAUCGCCUUUGUCUCCGUCGAAGCCAAGCCCAGCCGCCGCCCAUUCCUUUCCUCUCCGUUCGUGAAGCCCGGUCACCGCGUCAGAUCGUCGAUCGAUUUUGAGGCAGCGCGCACGUCUCCUUCCAGCCGCGCGUUUCCUCUUCUUCCAGCAGCGUGUUUUUCUUCUAACCGCGAUUCACAAACCGGCGUACACUCUAAUCUGUCUGCACGAUGAUUUUUGUUUAGAAUCGAUUGCCGCUACCCCUAUUUUUACUGAGAUCCGUCGAAGUUUUGUUGGUAAGAUUGAAGUUAUGAAAUUGUAGUCGUUUCCAAAACAAUUUAAGUAUGGGUUGUGAUGUUUUCAAGGUGUUCAAACGUUACGGAUGGGUUAAUUGACUAAUUUGAUCAAUUAUUCUUGAAGGUGUGAAAGGUAACUUUGGAUCACUUAAAUUCACAACCAAUUUGUGAAUUUUGAUUUUGGGUUGCCCUUAUUUGGAUUGUUUCGUGGACGAUAGUUGGUUAACGAGCUUCCCUAACUUUGACGCAAAGGUAAUAAAGACGACAAACCAGCGAGGAGCAGGAAGGAAGCGUGAUUGCCAUAGGGGUUAUUUUAAAUUUGCUUCUGCUUAAUGUUUUGUUUCACGUGUUUUGUUUUAGUACUUGAGAUUGUUUAGAAAAUUUUGUAGUUGAACUGUAUUCACGAAUUAGUAAACUUUUCUUGAAAGUGUUGGCUAUUUUAAACAGGGCCCAUAUAUAAAUUUUUUGUUUUCUUUGAGACUUUGAAAUUAUUUGA
Cucumis sativus (cucumber) is the source of this 1136-nucleotide long non-coding RNA. RefSeq lists it as uncharacterized. The transcript has 2 exons. NCBI's taxonomy places the organism in Eukaryota, Viridiplantae, Streptophyta, Magnoliopsida, Cucurbitales, Cucurbitaceae. The record is from RefSeq and is a predicted model, not a curated record.